This 2749-nucleotide long non-coding RNA is filed under the name Salmo salar (Atlantic salmon). RNAcentral describes it as "lncRNA (ENSSSAG00000106873.1)". Lineage: Eukaryota; Metazoa; Chordata; Actinopteri; Salmoniformes; Salmonidae. The record is from RNAcentral.
CUGAGGAAAAUCCAUCCAGGAAGUGCUUUUAUUUUGAAAUGCCUGUUUUUCCAUACAAAGACUUAUGACGCAGUUCACGAUCCCUAUGGCUUCCACUACAUGUGGCCAGUCUUUAGGCAAUGUUUCAGGCUUUUACUCUGAAAAAUAAGGGAGAAAACCCACUUUCAAUGAGAGGACAGUGGAAAUUUCCAGACACGAGUCCAGCGUGUGACUGGGAGCGCACCUUUCUUGUUUGUCCUUUUCUACUGAUGAAGCUAUUGUCCGGUUUAAAUUUGAUCGAUUAUUUAUGACAAAAACAACCUGAGGAUUGAUUAUAAACAGCGUUUGACAUGUUUCUACGAACUUUUAUGGUACUUUUUUGAUUUUUCGUCUGUCUGUUGUGACCACGUUUUGUUCCAAUGGAUUACUGAACAAAACGCACGAACAAACGGAGGUUUUAGAAUAUAAAGAGGGACUUGAUUGAACAAAACGAACAUUUAUUGGGUAACUGGGAGUUUUGUGAGUGUAACCAUAUGAAGAUCAUCAAGGGAUAGGAUCUCUGCUUUCCUCCAUCUCUCCCUCCAUCCUGCCCAUCUGCCCAUCUCCAUCCUGCCCAUCUGGAGGAGGAACGUGAACUGAAAAACUUGGAAUGUGCAGCUGUUGUUGGUAAGUAACUAAUCUGCUAUCUUCUGACAUGACUUACUGCAUCUAGUAAGAGAUCCGUUGAUGGGUUACUAUAACAGCUCUAUCUAUUGAUUGGUAGAAGCUAUUCCUAAUUCGUUCUCAGAUGUGUGGUUGUGAUCAGUAGUUGUGGUCAGUAGUAGUGGUCAGUAGUUGUGGUCAGUAGUUGUGGUCAGUAGUGGUCAGUAGUUGUGGUUCAGUAGUAGUGGUCAGUAGUAGUGGUCAGUAGUUGUGGUCAGUAGUAGUGGUCAGUAGUUGUGGUCAGUAGUUGUGUAUUUGUGGUCAGUAGUAGUGGUCAGUAGUACUGGUCAGUAGUUGUGUGGUUGUGGUCAGUAGUUGUGGUCAGUAGUUUUGUGGUUGUGGUCAGUCGUUGUGGUCAGUAGCAGUGGUCAGUAGUAGUGGUCAGUAGUUGUGUAUUUGUGGUCAGUGGUAGUGGUCAGUAGUUGUGUUCAGUAGUAGUGGUCAGUAGUUGUGGUCAGUAGUUGUGUGGUCAGUAGUUGUGGUCAGUAGUUGUGGUUAGUAGUGGUCAGUAGCAGUGGUCAGUAGUUUUGUGGUUGUGGUCAGUAGUUGUGAUCAAUAGUUGUGGUUAGUAGUGGUCAGUAGUUGUGGUUAGUAGUUGUGGUCAGUAGUUGUGGUUAGUAGUUGUGGUCAGUAGUUGUGGUUAGUAGUUGUGUGGUCAGUAGUUGUGGUUAGUAGUUGUGUGGUCAGUAGUUGUGGUUAGUAGUUGUGGUCAGUAGUGGUCAGUAGGUGUGGUCAGUAGUAGUGGUCAGUAGUUGUGGUUCAGUAGUAGUGGUUCAGUAGUAGUGGUCAGUAGUUGUGGUCAGUAGUUGUGGUCAGUAGUUGUGGUCAGUAGUUGUGUAUUUGUGGUCAGUAGUAGUGGUCAGUAGUAGUGGUCAGUAGUUGUGUGGUUGUGGUCAGUAGUUGUGGUCAGUAGUUUUGUGGUUGUGGUCAGUAGUAGUGGUCAGUAGUAGUGGUCAGUAGUUUUGUGGUUGUGGUCAGUAGUUGUGGUCAGUCGUUGUGGUCAGUAGCAGUGGUCAGUAGUAGUGGUCAGUAGUUGUGUAUUUGUGGUCAGUGGUAGUGGUCAGUAGUUGUGUUCAGUAGUAGUGGUCAGUAGUUGUGGUCAGUAGUUGUGUGGUCAGUAGUUGUGGUCAGUAGUUGUGGUUAGUAGUGGUCAGUAGCAGUGGUCAGUAGUUUUGUGGUUGUGGUCAGUAGUUGUGAUCAAUAGUUGUGGUUAGUAGUGGUCAGUAGUUGUGGUCAGUAGUUGUGGUCAGUAGUUGUGGUCAGUAGUUGUGGUUAGUAGUUGUGUGGUCAGUAGUUGUGGUAUGUAGUUGUGUGGUCAGUAGUUGUGGUUAGUAGUUGUGGUCAGUAGUGGUCAGUAGUAGUGGUCAGUAGUUGUGGUCAGUAGUUGUGGUCAGUAGUUGUGGUUAGUAGUUGUGUGGUCAGUAGUUGUGGUUAGUAGUUGUGGUCAGUAGUUGUGGUUAGUAGUUGUGUGGUCAGUAGUUGUGGUUAGUAGUUGUGGUCAGUAGUUGUGGUCAGUAGUUGUGUGGUCAGUAGUUGUGUGGUUCAGUAGUUGUGUGGUCAGUAGUUGUGUGGUUCAGUAGUUGUGUGGUCAGUAGUUGUGGUCAGUAGUGGUCAGUAGUUGUGGUCAGUAGUUGUGGUCAGUAGUUGUGUGGUCAGUAGUUGUGGUCAGUAGUUGUGGUCAGUAGUUGUGGGCAGUAGUUGUGUGGUCAGUAGUUGUGGUCAGUAUUUGUGGUCAGUAGUUGUGUGGUCAGUAGUUGUGGUCAGUAGUUGUGUGGUCAGUAGUUGUGGUCAGUAGUUGUGGUCAGUAGUUGUGGUUAGUUGUGGUCAGUAGUUGUGGUUAGUAGUGGUCAGUAGCUGUGGUCAGUAGCUGUGGUUAGUUGUGGUCAGUAGUUGUGGUCAGUAGUUGUGGUCAGUGGUGGUCAGUAGUGGUCAGUAGCUGUGGUUAGUAGUGGUAAGUAGCUGUGGUUAGUUGUGGUCAGUAGUUGUGGUCAGUAGUUGUGUGGUUGUGGUCAGUAUUUGCCUUGGCUGCAUCCCUAUCUUCACCCUCGUCAUCAUUUUUGCAAACCUG